AUCCGUCCAAUCAAUAUGACCGGGACAUUCUACUGAAAGUCUGGCAAACAUUUUGAUGGCUUGCGUUUCAAAAAGUGAAUUAUUUGAAAUUUCCUCAUACCAGUACCAUGCUUCGUCGAACCAAAUGCCACAUCCUAACGAAGGCACGAUUCAUCCCAAAUACACAUGUACGGACGAACUUCAUCAAGAACCUCCUGGACUGAUUCGUCGGAAAAAUAUGGUCGUGCAUAGA
This is a non-coding RNA of Caenorhabditis elegans, 232 nucleotides long. Ensembl annotates it as ncRNA. Its record names the gene C14C10.9. Lineage: Eukaryota; Metazoa; Nematoda; Chromadorea; Rhabditida; Rhabditidae. The record is from Ensembl.